CCAAUAGCGUAUAUUAAAGUUGUUGCAGUUAAAAAGCUCGUAGUUGAAUUUCGGGAUUGGCGCAUCGGUCGUGCCUCACGGGGUAUGAACUGGUGCAGUCAAUUUCUCACCUUCUGGAGAACCGCGAUGUCCUUAAUUGGAUGCCGUGGGGAACCAGGACCUUUACUUUGAAAAAAUUAGAGUGUUUAAAGCAGGCAUUU
Molecule: ribosomal RNA, 200 nt
Filed under: uncultured Glomus
Lineage: Eukaryota; Fungi; Glomeromycota; Glomeromycetes; Glomerales; Glomeraceae
Description: partial small subunit ribosomal RNA
Rfam family: Eukaryotic small subunit ribosomal RNA
Source: RNAcentral